This 350-nucleotide unclassified non-coding RNA is filed under the name soil metagenome. RNAcentral's name for it is "partial contains 5.8S ribosomal RNA, internal transcribed spacer 2, and large subunit ribosomal RNA". The stretch from base 1 to 120 matches the Rfam family "5.8S ribosomal RNA", at positions 35 to 154 of the family's 154-position model. The record is from RNAcentral.
GAUGAAGAACGUAGCGAAAUGCGAUAAGUAAUGUGAAUUGCAGAAUUCAGUGAAUCAUCGAAUCUUUGAACGCACAUUGCGCCCGCCAGUAUUCUGGCGGGCAUGCCUGUUCGAGCGUCAUUUCAACCCUCAAGCCCAGCUUGGUGUUGGGGAUCGGCACAGGCGCCCUCGGGCGCCAGCCGUCCCCUAAAUCUAGUGGCGGUCCCGCUGCAGCCUCCUCUGCGUAGUAGUUUUCCCCUCGCAAGGGCAGCUCGGUGGCGACCUCGCCGUAAAACCCCCAACUUCUGAAAGGUUGACCUCGAAUCAGGUAGGAAUACCCGCUGAACUUAAGCAUAUCAAUAAGCGGAGGA